UCAGAGAUGAGUGGAAAUGGUCAGAUCAGAGCAACAGCUCCUUCAGAUACUGGGCCACUGGUCAACCAAAUAACGACGGAGUCUGUACAUUGUACAGCCCAUCUCUCACAGGAUUCAUGGACAGAGGCUGUACUUACUCUAUACCCUUCAUCUGCUAUGAGGGUUCUGCCAAUCAAGAAACAAAACACACCAGAACUGUUAAGGUGGAAUUUAAGUCAUCUUUGAACUUAAAUGACUUCAGUGUGAGUGAUGCCAUUCUGCAGCAGAUCCAAUCAAAGUACCAGAAUGCCAAGGUUCAGUGGAGAGUCCAGCCUGAUGGGAAAAUUUUCCAUAAGGAAGAGGAGAAGGAAAUCAAGGAUGCCUGUUAGAAUACGACAUGAAGUUUUCCUGCAGUGAAAAAUUACUCACGAUUUUGCAUGUAGAGAAUAAGCAAAACUAGCCUAGCGUUAAACGACUAGAGAUAAAGGGAGACUUUGUUUUACUGUUUGUUUUUAAAGUCUGCUCACAUUAUAUAAUGGAAUGCUUUCAUUUGGAGGGUCUUUUUUAAGCAUGUGGCAUAUAUAAUAUGCAUAUGUGAUAUAUUAAAUAUUCAUUAAAAGUCAGUUAAAAGUCUGUUGAUUUAUUACU
Molecule: long non-coding RNA, 627 nt
Organism: Pelmatolapia mariae (spotted tilapia)
Lineage: Eukaryota; Metazoa; Chordata; Actinopteri; Cichliformes; Cichlidae
Exons: 3
Source: RefSeq, a predicted model, not a curated record